AGUGAACGCUGGCGGUAGGCCUAACACAUGCAAGUCGAACGGCAGCACAGUAAGAGCUUGCUCUUACGGGUGGCGAGUGGCGGACGGGUGAGGAAUACAUCGGAAUCUACUUUUUCGUGGGGGAUAACGUAGGGAAACUUACGCUAAUACCGCAUACGACCUACGGCUGAAAGCAGGGGAUCUUCGGACCUUGCGCGAUUGAAUUAGCCGAUGUCGGAUUAGCUAGUUGGCGGGGUAAAGGCCCACCAAGGCAACGAUCCGUAGCUGGUCUGAGAGGAUGAUCCGCCACACUGGAAAUGAGAAACGGUCCAGAAUCCUAAGGGAGGCAGCAGUGGGGAAUAUUGGAGAAUGGGGGCAAGCCUGAUCCAGCCAUAGCGCGUGGGUGAAGAAGGCCUUCGGGUUGUAAAGCCCUUUUGUUGGGAAAGAAAAGAAGCAGGUUAAUACCCCGCUGUUCUGACGGUAACCAAAGCAUAAGCACCGGCUAAAUUAGUG
RNAcentral lists this ribosomal RNA (492 nucleotides) under uncultured bacterium. RNAcentral describes it as "partial 16S ribosomal RNA". It matches the Rfam family "Bacterial small subunit ribosomal RNA", at positions 29 to 507 of the family's 1533-position model. The record is from RNAcentral.